GAUGAACGCUGGCGGCGUGCCUAAUACAUGCAAGUCGAGCGAACAGACGAGGAGCUUGCUCCUCUGACGUUAGCGGCGGACGGGUGAGUAACACGUGGAUAACCUACUUAUAAGACUGGGAUAACUUCGGAAAAACGGAGAUAAUACCGGAUAAUAUAUUGAACCGCAUGGUUCAAUAGUGAAUGACGGUUUUGCUGUCACUUUUAGAUGGAUCCGCGCCGCAUUAGCUAGUUGGUAAGGUAACGGCUUACCAAGGCUACGAUGCGUAGCCGACCUGAGAGGGUGAUCGGCCACACUGGAACUGAGACACGGUCCAGACUCCUACGGGAGGCAGCAGUAGGGAAUCUUCCGCAAUGGGCGAAAGCCUGACGGAGCAACGCCGCGUGAGUGAUGAAGGUCUUCGGAUCGUAAAACUCUGUUAUUAGGGAAGAACAAAUGUGUAAGUAACUAUGCACGUCUUGACGGUACCUAAUCAGAAAGCCACGGCUAACUACGUG
RNAcentral lists this ribosomal RNA (497 nucleotides) under uncultured bacterium. RNAcentral's name for it is "partial 16S ribosomal RNA". It matches the Rfam family "Bacterial small subunit ribosomal RNA", at positions 28 to 507 of the family's 1533-position model. The record is from RNAcentral.